Rattus norvegicus (Norway rat) is the source of this 1132-nucleotide long non-coding RNA. RefSeq lists it as uncharacterized. Lineage: Eukaryota; Metazoa; Chordata; Mammalia; Rodentia; Muridae. The record is from RefSeq and is a predicted model, not a curated record.
GGGCCUCAGCAGCCCAACGGCCCCGAUCGCCGUGACGUCAGCGCGCCGCGUGCGUCAGGGAGGAGGGGGAGAGGAGGGCACGGCCGGAGGAAGGACGUUUGUGGUUGGUGGACUCAGCCCGAGCCGGGAAGUUCGAACGGAAGUCCGAGAGCCAGAGUUGAGAGAGGGCAGCUGUUUGGGCCCAUGCGCAGUAGCUGCUGCUCAGGGUCCGACUUUCGUCAGGCCUGAAGUGACUUUGGGUGUGAAGGAGAUUCCUGGAAAGAAGUCAGAACUUGAAGUUUCUGCAGGAGUGAUUAGCUGAUUAAAACUUCAGUGACUGGGGAGAAAUUAUAAUGUUGUAAGUCCAAAGCCUGAUUAAAAUUUAUCUUGAGCUCUCUUUAGCUCCUUUAAUUAAAAGUCUUUCCUAGCCAACCUGUGUACCUGAACAGCCAGCAUCCUGGUGGACUGAUGAAUGAAUAAUCAUAUGCUGAAGGGAACAGGAAGUACUUGUGUUUAGAAAGAAAAAUAAUUGUAGCAAAUGCUAAAUAUUUCAAAGGAGUCUUAGUAUCUCUGAGAUAAUUGAGGCCUUUGAGAAAUACAAAAGAAGAGCUGAAGAGCAAAGAAACAAGCAGAAGAAAAGAGAACUCCCCAUUCCCCCAGUCAAAGAGUUACAACCCUGCAGGACCUUUUCACAGGAAAGCAGCAGCUCUCUCUCAAUUUGUCUUCAGAGGUAUGGGUGAUGUUUAUGUGCCGUGUCAUAGACUGUAGCUACUUCUUAUGUGUCUCCUGGUGACCAUGAUGUUUUCUCUCAUCUUCUUCAUCUCCACAAAAUCGAUCCUGCUAAUUCCGAUUUCCCUACAGUCAUCUGUACAAAUGGACUUUACCUUCUGGCCUUUUAUUCUUUCUCAGAACCAGACUUCCAAUAUCAAUAAGAGGUCUUACAAGAACAAAGUUACUCUACCCAGUUGAGUAAAGUUCCUCCUUUCUGAUUCUUUGUGAUCUUCAGCAGGCAUCUUGUUGUUAGUGUGCAAACCUCCACAGCGCAGCUGUAAGAGGAAGGUAACACUGCCAGCAUUCAAGUCUUUAUCUGGGUAAAUCCCUUGCUAACCUAUAAACGUUGGUAUGUAAUUAAACUGAUUUUGUAUCAAAUGUA